UCUAGUGCUGCGUCUCUCCAUGGAGGCUUCUGGUGUUGCCAGCAGUCACCAUGUGGUCCACAGCGUUGAACCCCUCCUCACAGUUUGCUUGGAGUUGGGAAACUUAACCUGCACCGUGCCUUUAGCUGCAGCUAGCAAGCUGUCUCUUCCCUGGCUCCAAGGUUCUUAGUGUCCUGCACAAAAUAUUGGACAAACCACGUGGAAGAGGUUGUGAGGAUUUACUUUUAUUGAAGGUGGAAAAGAAAUACGCUUUGAAGAACAAGUAGGGGGGCUUGGGGUACAGACUGUCAGUGCCCACAAGGAAUAGCGUCGGGACUCUUUGCUAUAUGGAGUCCUAGGUUGCUUCUUUCCCAUGUGCACGAGGCAUUUGUAAGGGCUCUCCUGUCAGAAACUCCACUGGCCUGAUGUCAGAUUUAAGCUGUCUGGUCAAGGACCCACCAGAAGUAAAUAAAAAAUCGACAGUGGCCACCACAUACAAGGUUUGGAGCUGCGCGGUCAUCUGGGACUCUGUUUUGCGUUUUUUCUCUGGGUCUCUACGACUGACAGGCUCUGUGGAGCUGUUCAAGUGAUUUCCCUCAGCCCUAAUCUACCUCACUCCAACCCAGGACUCUGCAGCCUCUUUGAAGAAUCAGAGGAGAAACAAUCUUCAAGGUGCAAACAUCAGCAAGGAAUCUGAACCUGUUAUCCCCGAACCCUGGUGAGCUGGGAUUAACUCAGCUAGUGCUUCUGGAAACUCUCCAGUUUUAGUCCCACUAUUUUUGUAAGGACACUACAGCUGUCAGUCAGGCAGCCGUGUCUCCGCUGUUCACAGAACUGCCGCCAUGACAGUAACCACUGACCUGGCUGCCCUUCCCCCACUCUGGGGGUGUCUUCCCUGACUGCAGUGGGCUUGAGUUUUAAAUAUGCAGUAGAUUACAUAUAAAAUGUACCAAUAAAAUU
Molecule: long non-coding RNA, 939 nt
Organism: Chinchilla lanigera (long-tailed chinchilla)
Lineage: Eukaryota; Metazoa; Chordata; Mammalia; Rodentia; Chinchillidae
Exons: 3
Source: RefSeq, a predicted model, not a curated record